Molecule: ribosomal RNA, 253 nt
Filed under: uncultured bacterium
Lineage: Bacteria
Description: partial 16S ribosomal RNA
Rfam family: Bacterial small subunit ribosomal RNA
Source: RNAcentral
UACGUAGGGCGCAAGCGUUGUCCGGAUUCACUGGGUGUAAAGGGUGCGUAGGCGGGAAGGUAAGUCCGCGGUGAAAUCUCACGGCUCAACCGUGAAACUGCCGUUGAUACUGCUUUUCUUGAGUUCGGGAGAGGUUGAUGGAAUUCCAGGUGUAGCGGUGAAAUGCGUAGAUAUCUGGAAGAACACCAGUGGCGAAGGCGGUCAACUGGCCCGUAACUGACGCUGAGGCACGAAAGCGUGGGGAGCGAACAGG